AUAGUCCCAUGGUUGGCUCCUUCAGGACCUUGUGGGAAACCAAGAGUCUUUGGGUUCUGGGGGGAAUAUGGUCGCAAGGCUGAAACUUAAAGGAAUUGACGGAAGGGCACACCAGGAGUGGAGCCUGCGGCUUAAUUUGACUCAACACGGGGAAACUCACUCGGUCAGGACAUAGUAAGGAUUGACAGGUUGACGGUCCUUUCUUGAUUCUAUGGGUGGUGGUGCAUGGUCGUUCUUAGUUCGUGGAGUGAUCUGUCUGGUUAAUUCCGCUAACGGACGAGACCUCUCCUUAUUAACUAGUGCGGCUCGCGGCCGAAAGGGUGAAGCGGUGGAGCUGGUUGGCGCUUCGGUGCUGGCUGCUUAGCCGGGGAACCUGGCGUGCGGGUUGCUUACUUCUUAGGGGUACAAUCUGCGUUUUAGCAGAGGGGAGCUAGAGGCAAUAACAGGUCUGUGAUGCCCUUAGAUGUUCGAGGCUGCACGCGCGCUACAAUGGUAUAAUCAACGAGCUCCUAGGUCGAAAGGCCUGGGGAAUCACAUGAAUUUAUAUCGUGCUGGGGAUAGAUGUUUGCAAUUAUUCGUCUUCAACGAGGAAUUCCUAGUAAGUGCACUUCAUCAGAGUGCGCUGAUUGCGUCCCUGCCCUUUGUACACACCGCCCGUCGCUCCUACCGAUUGAACGGUCCGGUGAAAUCUACGGAUACUGGAGCCUAAGGGGCAACCCUGAGCUUCGGCAGAAGUUGAGUAAACCUUACUGUUUAGAGGAAGGAGAAGUCGUAACAA
Molecule: ribosomal RNA, 778 nt
Filed under: uncultured eukaryote
Lineage: Eukaryota
Description: bacterial SSU rRNA
Rfam family: Eukaryotic small subunit ribosomal RNA
Source: RNAcentral